GGUCCCCUGGCUUAGUUGGUUGGAGUGUUGGUCUAAUAUGCCGAAGGUCGUGGGUUCAAUACCCCAUAGGUACCA
Molecule: non-coding RNA, 75 nt
Organism: Hordeum vulgare subsp. vulgare (domesticated barley)
Lineage: Eukaryota; Viridiplantae; Streptophyta; Magnoliopsida; Poales; Poaceae
Source: Rfam